Sarcophilus harrisii (Tasmanian devil) is the source of this 1086-nucleotide long non-coding RNA. RefSeq lists it as uncharacterized. The record is from RefSeq and is a predicted model, not a curated record. The transcript has 4 exons. NCBI's taxonomy places the organism in Eukaryota, Metazoa, Chordata, Mammalia, Dasyuromorphia, Dasyuridae.
UAGCAGGGCCCGGUGUUCCUGUGUCUAUGAAGCCAAAGUAAAGGGCUAAGUAAACAUGAUUAUGCAUGCAUGGAAGUCUCUAUCAAGGUACAAGAACAAGUCUACUUCCUACAAAUAUUCAGAGAUAGCUAUCAUACUCCAUUCUAUUCUUCCACUCUUUUCUUCUCCAAGGAAAACACUCCCAGUUUCUUCAACCAGUUCCUUCGAGGAACCAUCGUCAAAUGGCCUGAGUACAAGGCAUCUACUGAUAGAUCUCCUUUGCACGUACAUAACAUCCAGUUAUGGUCUGGGCAGGGCAGCCCUUCUUUUCUGGACACCAUGCUUAUCUUAAUGUGAUCCAUGAACCUGGUAGCUUGAUUUAGUCUUGAAGGAAACAAGGAUUCUAAGAGAAGAUGUUGGGAUCCUUCCAGCAAUAGGAGAUAACUUGUGAAAAGACAUGGACGCAGGGAAAAGAAAGUCAUAUGGCACUGGGGAGCUGUGUCGUCCAGGGAGAAUAAUGCUGCAUUUAUAUUUAGCAGACAUGGCUUAGUCACUUAUAGUCCAAGUAACCAUAGGGUUCUGAGGCAAAGAGAACGAAGAGAAGUCCCUUGGGAUAGUCCAGGUGAUGUGGGCCUGAGCUGGGGUUCGUGGCUGUCUGAACAGAGGGAAGGGAACAUAUAUCAAUUCCACCAAGGAGUUUCCUUUAACAAUGUUUCUCCAGGCCACUGUAGACUCCAGGCUGUGGGGAAGACCUGGCUACUUACACCAUGUCGAUGAGCAAGGAGUGACCAUUUGUGGGAAAGAACACAAGAUUUUAUCAUCUGUCUUGCCGUUGGGCCCUAAGAGUCAAUGAGCCCCAUCAUUCUAUCCUGCCAUUGUGUCCUCUACAGAUCUACCAUCUGCAGCUUCAACUUGAAGAUCACUCAGCAAGUCUUUUCCUUUUCAUCUGUCCAGCAGUGUGCACACACACAACACACACACAACACACAAACACAUGACUGUACAUAUGUGUGUUUCAGGACAGGUGUGUCUAGAGAUGCAAUAUCUAUGUGAUAUAUGUGAAUAUAUGUGUGCAUGUAUAUGCAAAUAUAUACACAUGUACACAAA